Long non-coding RNA from Canis lupus familiaris (dog), 958 nucleotides. RefSeq lists it as uncharacterized. The transcript is spliced from 3 exons. Lineage: Eukaryota; Metazoa; Chordata; Mammalia; Carnivora; Canidae. The record is from RefSeq and is a predicted model, not a curated record.
CAAUCCCAGGACGCUGAGAUCAUGACCUGAGCCGAAGGCAGGUGCUGAGCUGACUGAGCCACCCAGGGGCCGGCCCUGCAUCUCAUGUUUUUGUUUUCUUUUUUAAUACUCUGCCUUCUGCCUUCUCUGUGAACCUCUUUAAUGGCACAUCCCUCAGUAAAUCUCUUGCACAUUUAAUUCUACCUCAGCAUCUGCUGCUCAGAAGAUGUAAACAAGCAUACCUAUCUCAAGUGUAUUUCCAAAGCCUUCCCAGAUUCAGCUCCUCCUUGGAACCUCAUAUCACUUUUAUGGCGCCUGCCUUUAUGGUCUGCACUGAGGCCUCCUAAUACAGUAGGGCAGCUCCUGGAAGACACUCUUGGAGACCAACCCAGGCAAAGCCAAAUGAGAAUGCAUCGGUGAGUCACCAAUGAGAUUGCAUUUAAGAUAUAUAGCCUCAGAGCCAAGACCAGCCUUGUGAAAACAGACUUCAGGACAAUAUGGAACUGGAUAUUGGCCAAGAAGGCUGGAAAACCACCUCUGACCUCCUAAAUAAAGCCAGGCCUUUCAAACUAUAGAAGACCAGUGGGAAGGGGUGUUAGAAAUAAAAUGCACGGCAUAUCAGUUAUCUAAUGCAACCUAACAAAUGCACUAAAGCUUAGUGUUUUAAGAUAAAUUAUGUCUAUGAAUCUGCACAUUGAUUGGACAGUUCUCCUGAUCUCUAUUGGGCUUACUCAUGCAGCUGUCUCAGCUGGUAGGUCAGCUAGAGGCUGGGCUCACCCGGGAUCGUUUGGUAAGCUGGGCCUCUCUCUAUCUUACAUGAUCUUUCAUUUUAGGUUCCUUUAUGGCACAGCCAUUUCAGGCCAGCAUCCCAAGAGGGUGAAAGUGGUAGCCUCAUGAGUCACAUAUCAGCAUGUCCACCACAUUUUAUUAGUCACAAAGACAGUUACUGUAAAGGAGUGGGGAAAUAGACUUUGUCUCU